RNAcentral lists this ribosomal RNA (627 nucleotides) under Meteorus rogerblancoi. Its description in RNAcentral is "eukaryotic LSU rRNA". It matches the Rfam family "Eukaryotic large subunit ribosomal RNA", at positions 386 to 798 of the family's 3401-position model. The record is from RNAcentral. Lineage: Eukaryota; Metazoa; Arthropoda; Insecta; Hymenoptera; Braconidae.
CCUGAGAAACCCAAAAGAUCGAAUGGAGAGAUUCAUCGUCAACUCAUUUGGUAUAUAUGCGUGUUAUGAUACGAGUUAUCCUUGUGAUAUUGCUUGUACGUACAUGUAUAUUUUAUUGCUGAAUGUUGUCGGCGUGCACUUCUCUUCUAGUAGGACGUCGCGACCCGUUGGGUGUCGAUCUAUGGCCCGGAUGGGAGUCUUUAAUUUUUUAAAUUGAAGACCACUGGUGACCUGAUCGGCUGCCCGGCGGUAUUCGCAUGGUAAUGAGUCGCAUUUAAUAUGCGUCAAGCCCGUCACAAGCGCGAUUAGUUAUCUGGUAGUGCGGACUCAAUGCCGUCGCUAGUGCUAAUCAGCUGUUGGUUGUACGGUGUUCUUUGACUGGCUCGAAUAUUAAUUACCGGUCGGCGACGCUACUGCUUUGGGUACUUUCAGGACCCGUCUUGAAACACGGACCAAGGAGUCUAACAUGUGCGCAAGUCAUUGGGAUUUUUUAAAUAAAUUAAACCUAAAGGCGCAAUGAAAGUAAAGGUUGUUCUUGUAAUAACUAAGGGAGGAUGAGUUGCAUUACGAUGACAGCUCCGCACUCCCGGGGCGUCUCAUUCUCAUUGCGAGAAGAGGCGCACCCAG